RNAcentral lists this long non-coding RNA (1119 nucleotides) under Junco hyemalis (dark-eyed junco). RNAcentral describes it as "lncRNA (ENSJHYG00000014090.1)". The record is from RNAcentral. Lineage: Eukaryota; Metazoa; Chordata; Aves; Passeriformes; Passerellidae.
GCGCGGGGGGCGGAGAGGGGACCCGGGAGCGUGCGAGUUCCCUUCCCGAGACACCUUCGCCCUCCCGCCGCAGCCCCCGCGGGAGGGGCAGCCCUGGCGGGGCGGGGGCGGGCGGCGCGGAGCCGGCGGAGCGGCAGAGCCCGUGGGCUGGCAGCUCAGUUCGUCUGGCCCAGCGGUGGCAUCACCAGAUCUUCCAUUGAAAGCCAAGGGCUUGCAGGGAGAGCGAGGGGAAUUCCCGCCUGCAAAUGCAAAGGUGGAUGCCAGGCAGGACGAGUGUAGCCUCAGGGUCAAGCUACAGAGCUGUUACAGGACUCGGUUCCCCGUAGCAGGACAGCAGAGCAAAAAGCUUCAGGGGAGAGUUUCUAGCACAGCUGGAGUGAGAAGCCUUUUUGUGUCUUGCCUACAGCUUUAUCUACUUUGGCAAAUAAGUAGAGAAAAAAAAAAACGGAAAAAACCCCACUUUAGUUGAACAGUUACAUAACUCUUCUGAGCUGAUCUAAAGACUAAAUUAAGAAUUCUAGGAAUACAAGAAAAUUCCCAGUCAGGAUUAUAUACACUUGGAUAUUGUACCUGUGAGGACUACAGGCACAGGGGCCAUCAGAAAUCUCACCCUAAGUCUUCCAUUCCUUGCUAGCAGGGAACAUGGGAUAUACUUCUGGUUCUCUCCAACCUGUUGCUUCUAUCGUUAGAAUAUUAUUUAAAGCAAGUUUUGUCAUUAUAUUAAGUAUCAGAUUUGUUGUGUAUCUUAUAUGCUUGAUUAUAAUUCUAAUUCAUUAAUUGAUUACAGGAUUUCUAAAUAGUUUGUCUACUGAGAUUCUGUGGCUACAAGCAUAAGGUAGGGUCUUACUCAGCAUUAGUUUAGAAGACAAGCCUUUAAGCAAGCUACUUCAAUGUUUUGGCUUUACAGUACUUUUGUCUUUAUUCCUGUCUCUCAAUUCCUUCAUCACAAAAACUCCAGUCUUCCUCUCAAACUAUUCAGAAGACUAUUGUUAAUAUUUACACUAAACUUUGUUUUUACUUUCUUCUUUUAGCCAGCCCCAUAAUUUCCCUUUCUCUCAUUAGCAAUUAAAAAAAGUUUAAAAAAAUAAAUAUAGCUGUUGUGUUUUUUUUGGGUGGGGU